UAUGUAGGGUGCAAGCGUUAAUCGGAAUUACUGGGCGUAAAGCGUGCGCAGGCGGCGCCGCAAGUCAGGCGUGAAAUCCCCGAGCUUAACUUGGGAAUGGCGCUUGAAACUACGGUGCUGGAGUGUGGCAGAGGGAGGUGGAAUUCCACGUGUAGCGGUGAAAUGCGUAGAGAUGUGGAGGAACACCGAUGGCGAAGGCAGCCUCCUGGGCCAACACUGACGCUCAUGCACGAAAGCGUGGGGAGCAAACAGG
RNAcentral lists this ribosomal RNA (253 nucleotides) under uncultured bacterium. Its description in RNAcentral is "partial 16S ribosomal RNA". It matches the Rfam family "Bacterial small subunit ribosomal RNA", at positions 524 to 776 of the family's 1533-position model. The record is from RNAcentral.